AGAAAAAAGAAAAAGAAAGAAAGAAUGAUCUAAUGAUCCCAGCAUGAAAAUUUGAAUAGUUAUGGAAUGCUAAAUGGAAAAGGAAAAAAAAAUUGCAUACAUUUUCACCAAAAUGCACACGAGUUGACAAGGGGAAAAAAUGAAUUCUACAUGAUGACAGAUCUAAUUUGUGCAUACCUGAAAGCCUUGGGAAGAUAUAUUAUUCCAAGGAGCA
Molecule: unclassified non-coding RNA, 214 nt
Filed under: Hevea brasiliensis (rubber tree)
Lineage: Eukaryota; Viridiplantae; Streptophyta; Magnoliopsida; Malpighiales; Euphorbiaceae
Source: RNAcentral